RNAcentral lists this ribosomal RNA (492 nucleotides) under uncultured bacterium. RNAcentral's name for it is "partial 16S ribosomal RNA". It matches the Rfam family "Bacterial small subunit ribosomal RNA", at positions 29 to 507 of the family's 1533-position model. The record is from RNAcentral.
AGUGAACGCUGGCGGUAGGCCUAACACAUGCAAGUCGAACGGCAGCACAGUAAGAGCUUGCUCUUACGGGUGGCGAGUGGCGGACGGGUGAGGAAUACAUCGGAAUCUACUUUUUCGUGGGGGAUAACGUAGGGAAACUUACACUAAUACCGCAUACGACCUACGGGUGAAAGCAGGGGAUCUUCGGACCUUGCGCGAUUGAAUGAGCCGAUGUCGGAUUAGCUAGUUGGCGGGGUAAAGGCCCACCAAGGCGACGAUCCGUAGCUGGUCUGAGAGGAUGAUCAGCCACACUGGAAAUGAGACACGGUCCAGACUCCUACGGGAGGCAGCAGUGGGGAAUAUUGGACAAUGGGCGCAAGCCUGAUCCAGCCAUACCGCGUGGGUGAAGAAGGCCUUCGGGUUGUAAAGCCCUUUUGUUGGGAAAGAAAAGCAGCAGGUUAAUACCCCGCUGUUCUGACGGUACCCAAAGAAUAAGCACCGGCUAACUUCGUG